Molecule: non-coding RNA, 284 nt
Organism: Tinamus guttatus (white-throated tinamou)
Lineage: Eukaryota; Metazoa; Chordata; Aves; Tinamiformes; Tinamidae
Source: RefSeq, a predicted model, not a curated record
UAAAUUAAUAAAAACUCAAUAGCAUCACUGGUCAGCAAAACACACUGAAGACAGUGUGUAGAUUGUCUACAUAUAGAUCAGAAAGGUAGCAACACUGCUACCUCGAUCGAAACUGGAGAAAUACCAGUGAUCUUCCAUACGUAUAUCACUUCAGACAUAUGAAGAACACCAGGCAGAAGAAAUGUACUUCCCUGUUACCCCAAUUUUUCCUAUUAAAUAAGGCAAUAAUAUAAAGCACAGCAUCACAGCAACAUAAUAAAAUCUCUAGGUAGCUAGAGAUCUGU